AUGAACCCCAAACUUCCCAGCCCGGGUGGCAGAGGCUCUGCGGUCAACCACAGCAGGGCACUCUCCUGCCCUCUUUCUCCUCCAUCCUCCCCUUCGGUCCUCGAGAAGCGGAGCCUACCCGAGACUCCUCUGGCUUCGGAGACCCACUCUUUUAACUCCAAGGAUUCGCAGGAGCCUCGCCUCUGCAGCCCGGGGCACGGCGCCCGGACGCCGUCCUCUACAAGUGGGACCGCCGGACAAAGUGCAAACUCUAUCGGGAAAGGGGGCGCGCAGGCACUCCCGCCGGCGGCGCGCCCAGGUGCUGGCCCGCUCCGCGGACACUGGGCUGGGUGGGCGCCCGGAGCUUACCUCUGCGCGCGGGCCGCGGGCGCUCGGGGCAGCGACUCCUCCAGCUGGCAAGCUGUUGCUCGCGCUCCGGCGGUGGCAGCGGUCCCGCCAGGGCUGCGCUGGGGCUUCCCGCAGACGCUCGCCCGCGCUCUGCGGCAGCCCGGGCGGUGGCAGCAGCGCUGGCGCUGGCGACCGCUCGGCCCGGCGCGGCUCUGGAACCGUCCAACUCUUGCCCGCCCCGGGGCCGAGGCCCUCGCCCAGGUGAGGGGCGUGUGCCCGCAGCCUGCUGGGCGCGCCCCGCCUGCACCGGUAGCGGGCGGGCCCCCCGGCCUGGCCGCGGCGCCAACGCCACGCCCGCGCGCGGCAGCGGGCGACGGUUCCCCGUGCGCAGCGUGGCGAGCGCACCCGGCGAGGCGAAUGAGGCGGGUCUGCUCGGGGGCUCGUCGGUACUGCAGAGCCUCCCGCAGCCUCGCCGCCUUAAAUCCCGCCUUUCCAGGCGUGCGCGCACCGCCGGCGAGAGCAGGCUCUGUCCCACCGAGCGGGCGCCGCGCGGUCCUCAGCCGCGGGGCUCGCAACCCCUCCAGAAAUUCGGGGCGAUGGCAGGGGUCCCGAGAGCGGGUGCCGAGCCGCGCGGUGAAGGCGGGUGUCCCCGGUGCGGGUCAAGCCGGAGGGACACUCUCUCCUCAGAGCUCGUGA
Molecule: long non-coding RNA, 1023 nt
Filed under: Oryctolagus cuniculus (rabbit)
Lineage: Eukaryota; Metazoa; Chordata; Mammalia; Lagomorpha; Leporidae
Description: lncRNA (ENSOCUG00000033855.1)
Source: RNAcentral